GUGAGUGUAGCUCAGUUGGCAGAGCACUGGGUUGUGGCCUCAGUGGUCGCGGGUUCAAGUCCCGUCACUCACCCCA
This 76-nucleotide transfer RNA is filed under the name Deltaproteobacteria bacterium. RNAcentral's name for it is "tRNA-His". It matches the Rfam family "tRNA". Rfam says of the family: Transfer RNA (tRNA) molecules are approximately 80 nucleotides in length. Their secondary structure includes four short double-helical elements and three loops (D, anti-codon, and T loops). Further hydrogen bonds mediate the characteristic L-shaped molecular structure. tRNAs have two regions of fundamental functional importance: the anti-codon, which is responsible for specific mRNA codon recognition, and the 3' end, to which the tRNAs corresponding amino acid is attached (by aminoacyl-tRNA synthetases). tRNAs cope with the degeneracy of the genetic code in two manners: having more than one tRNA (with a specific anti-codon) for a particular amino acid; and 'wobble' base-pairing, i.e. permitting non-standard base-pairing at the 3rd anti-codon position. Lineage: Bacteria; Pseudomonadati; Myxococcota; Myxococcia. RNAcentral also lists the same sequence under 1 other name. The record is from RNAcentral.